Molecule: long non-coding RNA, 508 nt
Filed under: Homo sapiens (human)
Lineage: Eukaryota; Metazoa; Chordata; Mammalia; Primates; Hominidae
Description: HSALNT0194544
Source: RNAcentral
AGAAGAAGGGGAAAUGUUAAAGGGGCAACCACCAAACUGUCUUUAGCAGGUAGAGGACAGUAAGAAGAGGUUAACAGCCAAAUGUUAAGAUAAGCUUUGUUAUUUUUGGGCAAAGUCCCUUCCAGAAAAUACAUGCCACUGGCAGCCCCAUAAGUGUGUAUGAGAGCAUCAGGAAUCCUCUCUGACUGUGAAAGUCUUCAGGAUGAUGUUUCUGAACUAGGAAAAGAAUUCUGAAAAUAUUCAGAGUCAGUUGUCCCACCAUGAUCAUUGGCUUUCAGAGAGGCAGAAAGAGCUAUACCCCAGGCAGUUGCUCUGAGCUCUGAGAAUUGGAUCGGAAGCAAUUUCCUGGUUCUGGCCUCUAGAUGAAUGAAAAAAAAUCAAGUUCCUUUGGCACCUGCUUUGGGAGGGAGAUGCUCCACAAUCUUGUCUCUAUUCAGAAUCAAUUUAACAAGGUGGACCAUGUGACUCCACGGUUGCCAAUGGCUAUGUUUUCCAUUACAUCAUGCGA